ACCAGUUUAAAUUUACGACUGCAUGCAGAACAUGACGAGCUGUGAUCCCACAGGUCCUCUGCUAACUGAGCAAAAACCUACCCCUGGACCCAGAGGGGCUUCUAUUGAGACAGCAAACGCUACAAUGUACAUCUGACAGGUGCUCGCUUCUGCCGAGCAGGCAGUAACCUUGGAGGGAGUAGACAGGAAUGCAGCAGCCCUAUCUGAGCUCAGAGGGAAAUGCUGACUGCAAAGACCUUUUUUUUUGUUGUUCUGAGAGGAAAAUCAAUAUUCCAGAGUCCAUCACAUGGCCAGGCAAUUUGGUGCUUUUUUUCUCUCUCUCUCUCUCUCUCUCUCCAGCCAAGGGUUGUACCUCCAAAUCAAUAUGUGAUACACAAAUAUCGCAGGGCUCCGUGUUCUGGACGGGGAGCGAUGACGAGGGCCUGAGAGUUAGCCAGCUUUACACCACCUGCCAGAGGAGAAUGAUCUGAUGUGGAAGGCUAGAAGCUUCUGGUAGAAUCAGCGUGAAAAGCAUGUGGUCAGACUGUGUUAAUCAGAUUCAAACUAUGCAUUGCUCCUUUUAAAUCGGUGUUAAUACUGGUCUUUUAAUAACGGGAGAUAUCUGCAGCUUGAAGUUUUUCCCCAUCAAACUGGAUGUCGCUCUGAUCUGAUCGAUCAGAGUCAGAUCAAAAAAGCUCAGUUAAGAAACAGACGGCUGAUUUUACACAUUAGUUAAACUGGAUUGGAUGAAAAAAUUAAGGGGAAAAAAAGCUGUAUCGCUUAAUGGGC
This is a long non-coding RNA of Oreochromis aureus, 768 nucleotides long. Lineage: Eukaryota; Metazoa; Chordata; Actinopteri; Cichliformes; Cichlidae. The record is from Ensembl.